Molecule: long non-coding RNA, 246 nt
Filed under: Durio zibethinus
Lineage: Eukaryota; Viridiplantae; Streptophyta; Magnoliopsida; Malvales; Malvaceae
Description: long non-coding RNA (DZIB_LNC000819)
Source: RNAcentral
CGAAGAUGAGUUUCUAUGUCGUCGACGGUCAAUACUAUGUCGUCGACGCCAACAAUGGUUUGGGGUGAUCAUCAUGUCGUUGGACAGGGGAGCCAACAAGCUGCUAUGCCAUUGGGACGGGGGUGAUUUACCGCCAUGGGUCCACCAUCCCACCUAUGAUGUUUCUGGCGGAAGAAUAUUGCCUGGAUUUGCAAUGAGAUGCUGUUAACCGUAAUUUGUUACGAAACAUUCUGUUGGCAUUAGAGU